CACAUCGAUGAAGAACACAGUGAAAUGUGAUAAGUAAUGUGAAUUGCAGAAUUCAGUGAAUCAUCAAAUCUUUGAACGCACCUUGCACCUUUUGGUAUUCCAAAAGGUACACCUGUUUGAGUGUCAUGA
This 129-nucleotide ribosomal RNA is filed under the name Cronartium coleosporioides. Its description in RNAcentral is "5.8S ribosomal RNA". It matches the Rfam family "5.8S ribosomal RNA", at positions 29 to 154 of the family's 154-position model. Rfam says of the family: 5.8S ribosomal RNA (5.8S rRNA) is a component of the large subunit of the eukaryotic ribosome. The record is from RNAcentral. Lineage: Eukaryota; Fungi; Basidiomycota; Pucciniomycetes; Pucciniales; Coleosporiaceae.